UUUUUCCCUCACAUUUGUGAUUUUCGGACAGUGGGACAACAUGCCCUCUGAUGCUUAUUGAUCUCCCCCUGGAGAUUCCUUUUCACUAUGUACUGUCACUUGGUAUUUGGCCCAUGGUUUCAUCACCCUUGUCCAA
Amblyraja radiata (thorny skate) is the source of this 136-nucleotide long non-coding RNA. RefSeq lists it as uncharacterized. NCBI's taxonomy places the organism in Eukaryota, Metazoa, Chordata, Chondrichthyes, Rajiformes, Rajidae. The record is from RefSeq and is a predicted model, not a curated record. The transcript is spliced from 3 exons.